CCUGCGGUGGCGCGUGCCUGUAGUCCCAGCUACUCGGGAGGCUGAGGCGGGAGGAUCACUUGAGUCCAGGAGUUCUGGGCUGCAGUGCGCUAUGACCAUCGGGUGUCUGUGCUAAGUUCGGCAUCAAUAUGGUGACCUCCCGGGAGCUGGGGACCACCAGGUCGCCUAAGGAGGGGUGAACCGGCCCAGGUUGGAAACGGAGCAGGUCAGAACUCCCGUGCUGAUCAGUAGUGGGAUUGCGCCUGUGAAUAGCCACUGCACUCCAGCCUGGGCAACAUAGCGAGACCAUAUCUCU
Molecule: signal recognition particle RNA, 295 nt
Filed under: Saimiri boliviensis boliviensis (Bolivian squirrel monkey)
Lineage: Eukaryota; Metazoa; Chordata; Mammalia; Primates; Cebidae
Description: Metazoan signal recognition particle RNA (ENSSBOG00000001288.1)
Rfam family: Metazoan signal recognition particle RNA
About the family: The signal recognition particle (SRP) is a universally conserved ribonucleoprotein. It is involved in the co-translational targeting of proteins to membranes.
Source: RNAcentral